ACUUGAAUGACCGGCGGCACUGCAGCCAAAGGUCUUCACGGAGAGGAAGAGGGAGUACAGCUGAUGUCUGCUGUGUGGCAGGGUGCCGCGAGUCUUUAUCGGUAAAGAUUGUAUAGGCGGAUGCAGUGAUCUAGUCUCUUUGCAACAGAGUGGGGAACUGCUGACGCGCCUAAAGCAGAUUGGAGCUCUGCAGUAACCACAGAAGACACUUCAGUUAUCUCCACGGAGAUUUAUUUGUCCAGACUGUGAAACUCCUUGAUCAGAUGGAGUCUCACUCUGUCAUCCAGGCUGGAAUGCAGUGGUGCGAUCUCGGCUCACUGCAAGCUCCGCCUCCCGGGUUCACUCCAUUCUCCUGCCUCAGCCUCCCGAGUAGCUGGGACCACAGGCUCCCACCACCACACCUGGCUAAUUUUUUUGUAUUUUUUGUAAAGAUGGGGUUUCACCGUGUUAGCCAGGAUGGUCUCAAUCUCCUGACCUCGUGAUCCACCUGCCUCGGCCUCCCAAAGUGCUGGGAUUACAGGCAUGAGCCGCCACGCCUGGCCCAUUUUAAUCAUUUUUAAGUAUAUGAUUCAUUGGCAUGAAGUACAUUCACACUGCUGUGCAGUCAUCACCACCACCAUCUCCAGAACAUGUUUCUUCUUCCCAAACUGAAACUCUGUACUCAAUAAACACUAACUCCCUGUUUCCCCCUUUCCCCAGCCCCUGGCAACCACCCAAUUUGGCUGGGGUUUUUUUCAAUACUUCCCUAGAAAUCUGGUUUUUCAUGUAAUUCUCGUUCUUAUCCCUCCUUACAUUCUUACAUUCUUUUGUAGCUAUGGAACCAAGAACACUGUGUAUGGUGAAUAUUUAACAUAAUAACAUUAUCUGUCUUCUGUGAUCUUCCCAAUGCAUAGAUUCCAGUAUCUGGCUUAACUUUUUGAUUAUUCAUUUUGACUCAUUUUUCCCUAACACACUUUUGCCAAUUUUAAAAAAUCCUAUCAUUAUUACUGCUUUCCUCUGUAAUAUUUUCUAAUUAGCAAGGUAAAACUUAAUAUUAGCAGCUUCAAUUACUUGAGUGAGAGGAUGACUGAAAAUCAAAUUUUCCUAUUAUUCCAAAUCUGGUCAAUUUGUAAAUUUAAUAUAUAAAUUUGCCAACAACGAAAUAAUAAACAAUAAGCUUUAUUUCCAAAAAGAACAAAUGCUUUCAUUUUUAUUAGGCAAAAAUACUAAGUCAGUCUUUUUUUGAGACAGAGUCUCACUCUGUCACCCAGGCUGGAGUGUGGUGGCGUCAUCUUGGCUCAUGGCAACCUCUGCCUCCCAGUUUCAAGCGAUUCUCCUGCCUCUGCCUCCCGCGUAGCUGGGAUUACAGGCGCACGUCACCACGCCCAGCUAAUUUUUGUAUUUUUACUAGAGACGGGGUUUCACCAUGUUGGUCAGGCUGUUUUUGAACUCCUGACUUCAGGUGAUCUGCUCGCCUCAGCCUUCCAAAGUGCUUGGAUUACAGGCAUGAGCUACUGCACCUGGCCAUAAGUCAGUCUUUAACACUGACAGAAACAACUGCAACUGGCUCCAAAAUACUCUACAGCAAGCUGCAAGCCCACAAUUAAUUUAAUCAAAACAAAUAAAUUUGCUUCUUUUUGAACUUCUAAAAUCUUUCACUAGAGGGCUCAUGACUUGUUUAAAACUUAUUUCAAUACCCAAUGUAAGAAACCUUUCUAUUCUAAAAAUUAAAGCAGUGAAUCUGAAGAGCAGUCUGGCUUG
This 1740-nucleotide small RNA is filed under the name Pongo abelii (Sumatran orangutan). RNAcentral describes it as "processed transcript". The record is from RNAcentral. Lineage: Eukaryota; Metazoa; Chordata; Mammalia; Primates; Hominidae.